Molecule: ribosomal RNA, 465 nt
Filed under: uncultured bacterium
Lineage: Bacteria
Description: partial 16S ribosomal RNA
Rfam family: Bacterial small subunit ribosomal RNA
Source: RNAcentral
CCUACGGGGUGCAGCAGUGGGGAAUAUUGCGCAAUGGGCGAAAGCCUGACGCAGCGACGCCGCGUGAGGGAUGAAGGUCUUCGGAUCGUAAACCUCUGUCAGCAGGGAAGAACGGUCACUGUGCUAAUCAGCAGUGAAUUGACGGUACCUGCAAAGGAAGCACCGGCUAACUCCGUGCCAGCAGCCGCGGUAAUACGGAGGGUGCGAGCGUUAAUCGGAAUUACUGGGCGUAAAGCGCUCGUAGGCGGUAUGGCAAGUCAAGGGUGAAAUCCCCGCGCUCAACGUGGGAACUGCCUUUGAAACUGGCAAACUGGAGUGUGUGAGAGGAUAGUGGAAUUCCAGGUGUAGGAGUGAAAGCCGUAGAUAUCUGGAGGAACAUCAGUGGCGAAGGCGACUAUCUGGCACAUAACUGACGCUGAGGAGCGAAAGCGUGGGUAGCAAACAGGAUUAGAUACCCUAGUAGUC